AAUGAUACCCAGGUAGUCCACGCCGUAAACGUUGGAUACUAGGUGUGGCGGGUCUUACCAACGACUGCCGUGCCGAAGCUAACGCAUUAAGUAUCCCGCCUGGGGAGUACGGCCGCAAGGCUAAAACUCAAAGGAAUUGACGGGUCCCCGCACAAGCGGCGGAGCAUGCGGCUUAAUUCGAUGCAACCCGAAGAACCUUACCUGGGUUUGACAUCACGGGAAAAGCUGUAGAAAUGCAGUGUCCAUUAGGGCCCGUGACAGGUGGUGCAUGGCUGUCGUCAGCUCGUGUCGUGAGAUGUUGGGUUAAGUCCCGCAACGAGCGCAACCCUUGUCCUAUGUUGCCAGCGGUUCGGCCGGGGACUCAUAGGAGACUGCCGGGGAUAACUCGGAGGAAGGUGAGGACGACGUCAAGUCAUCAUGCCCCUUAUAUCCAGGGCUGCACGCAUGCUACAAUGGCCGGUACAACGGGCAGCGAUCCCGCGAGGGUGAGCGAAUCCUAAAAAGCCGGUCCUAGUUCGGAUUGAAGUCCGCAACUCGACUU
This 541-nucleotide ribosomal RNA is filed under the name uncultured bacterium. RNAcentral describes it as "bacterial SSU rRNA". It matches the Rfam family "Bacterial small subunit ribosomal RNA", at positions 778 to 1318 of the family's 1533-position model. The record is from RNAcentral.